Molecule: long non-coding RNA, 6095 nt
Filed under: Lupinus angustifolius (narrow-leaved blue lupine)
Lineage: Eukaryota; Viridiplantae; Streptophyta; Magnoliopsida; Fabales; Fabaceae
Description: long non-coding RNA (LANG_LNC000585)
Source: RNAcentral
CCUUGUUUUCCAUCUCCCUCGUCGCCCCACCAUGCAUUGACCAUCAUAAUCUUCUCCGAGAGUGCAAAGUGUCAAUGAUUGCAUUAGCAACGUUUGCCUAUGUUUUGAUGAAGACAAGGAAUUAACUAAAGCUUGAAGAUGACUCAAUAAUCAACAUGUCGAAUACUCAAGUGGUGUCUUAUUAGACUUAUGUCAUAAUUCUUUAUUAUCUUUUUAGAAGUCUAAGAUGCUUCCCAUAAAUAUUGAGUCUAGGUUAGGUAAACCUAGGUGUGAGUCUCACAAGACUUAAUAAAGUAAUUAAUCCACUAAAAUGAGACAUCAUCUAGAAAUAUAUGAUAAGUAGGUCCAUGCAUUUAUAUAGAUUGAUUUUAUGCAUUAAAUGUAUUAUACUUUGGAAAUCAUGUAUUGCACGAGCAUAUAUCAUAUAAGUAGUUUACCAUUUAAUCAUGUAUUAAAAAUACACUGGUUAAUCGAUUAACCCCAUGUCUUAAUCGAUUAACGUAAGUAUUUUCUGCUGUUUUAACAGCAUAACUGAAAAACCGUUUUUGAGAGCCAAAUUCUGUUUUGUAUAAAUACUGGCUUAAUUGCAUAAAUGACUAUGUAGAAAAAGAGAGAAAAACAUAAAGAAAAAGAUAUAGAUUAUCAUUGUUAGAAUAUAUAAAGAAAGUGUUAAAUUAGGAGAAAAUUUGGAUCAUGCUAAGACUUUAGCUUUCAUAUUCAUCUUGCAUGUUUCUUUCAAAAGCUUUCUUGCAUUAUUCUUUUGUUUCUUGAAAAGAAAAGAAAUAGUUUUUAAAUAGUUUUCAUUCUCUACUAUGCUCCAUCUGCUUCUCUAUGUUGCAUCAAUUUUCUAGGAUGAUUCCUUCAUUUUCUGUUAUUUUAGAUACUAUUCUACACAUUCAAUUAUUUCCUUUUUCACUUCUUUUACCUAUUUUAUUUUUACAAUUAUAACAAUUUUAAUAAUAAUAAUAAUAAUAAUAAUAAUAAUAAUACCAACAUAUAUAAUAAUAAAUAAAAUUAAGUCGAGUAACAAUUAAUUAAUAAAUUAUUAUGAUGGGGUUUUUAAAAAAAAAAUAUUAUUUUUUAAUAUAAUUAAUAUAUGGUUUUUUAAGAAUAAAAGGAUGUUUUUAUGAUUAAUUUUUUAAAUUAAAAUAAUAAGGGUGGAGAGAAGGAUGUGAUGACACUUAUUUUCAUUUAAUAUAACAACAUUUUGAUAUAAAAAACAAUUAUUAAAAGUAAAAAAUAUUUUUUAAAUAACAUAAUAUGUGCAAAAUAUAAUAAAUAUGAAUAUUUUCUUAAUUAAUAUAAAAAUAUAAAAUACAAUAUCAUAUUAAGGAUAAGAGUAAUUGUGAAUAUUAAUUUCUUUUCUUUAACCUAUCUUUUAAACGGUGGCACAAUAUCACUUCUAUUCCUAAAAAUACAUAAAACACACCUAACUAAUUAAUUUUUUUCUACCGUGAAUUAUGGAAGCUUUGAUUCCUAAUUGCAUAUAAUACCUAUGAGUGAAAUAUUUUUCUACCAAAAAUUAUCCAAUAUAGAAAUAUUUCUUUUCCUUUAUAAUUAACAUAAUUAAUCAAAAUAUUUCUUUGGCUUAUAGUAGUCUUUUUGCUUGUGAAUUUUUGAGUUUUCCUUUGCAAUAGAUAAAAACUUUUGAAGUAGAGGACUCAGUGGCCUAGAGAUACAUGAAAUAAAAAAUUAAAAUACAACUCAUCAAUAGUAGCUACGAGUUAUGAGAGAAAGAAAAUAAAUAAAGUAAGCAAUAUUCUACAUCCACGACUUUAUUUAAAAUUGUCAAUCUCAUCCACGACUCCCUUAAAAAUAUACAAACUUGUAAAUAAUUUAAAGUAUGUACUAAGAUUGUAAUUUUGUAGAAGAUAGACAUGUAAUGUAAAUUUGCCAACAAAGGUGGACAAUAUCAUUUCCUUCUUUGGGUAGAAGAUAAAGGAUUUCUAAAAGUUCAAUAGUGUUCACGAUUUUGAACAUAGUAGCAACGUUCAUGUUCGAAAAAAAAAACAAAAAUAAGCAAUAAACACCCAUACAAGAAUGAAUUGAAUUUUCACAUAGGAAAGUAGAAUUUAAAUGAACAAGAAAAAAUAUUCAAAAUAUUCUUGUGUGUCAUCAAAAUUCAUUUCCCCCUUCAUAUUUACUAAAAGGUGGUUUUGUUGUAACCCCCACCAAAGCAGUGUAACCUAGGCUUCAUAUAUGAACAAGAAAAUUACAACCAUUUAAAUUCUUGACAGCCUAUAUAGUUGAAGCAGUGUCACAAGGAGAAUGAACAAGAUUUCACAGUACAUAUCUACAAUUUGUUCCAAUGACAAGUGUAAGAAGCCACAACCUCUUGUCGCAGUGAAAACAGUACAUUUAAAUGUCCCCAUGGGACUUAGGUUAUGAUAAGUGUAAUAUUUAUGUAUGAAAGUGUAAUAAUUUAUAACAAAUAUAUUAAGACUACCAAAAACAUGCUUUGUUAUCCCCAAAAAUACAAAUUCACGGUCCCCUUAGAAUCCAUCAUUAUGUUUAUUCCUUUAAUGUCUAUAAACAAAAUCUAGUAAUUAAUUAGAACAUAUGAAAUUACUCAACAACAAAAUUAAAUGUAAAGACUAUAAUAGAAACAUAUAACUUAUAAGUAGUAGUUAUCUAUUAACAAUGUAUCUAGCAUGUAAAUAUUAUGCAAGACCUAAUACAAUCUGUCUAGUAUAAUUACGAAUAGAAGAUUCACCAAAAUGACCAUAUUAUUGGAAUACCUAAUCUAUAACAGAAAUCUUACAUGGAAAUGAAAACAAACUAAUUGUAGUCAAAUUUGGUGAAGCUCACAUUCACAAUUAUACUAGACAUGUUUUGUUAUGUCUUGCAUAUUUACAAGAUAUUGUCCAUAGGUAACUAUUCUUACAAGUUCCACUUCUACUGUAGGUUUCCUUUUAAUUUGUUUGCUAAAAUAUUUUUCUAUGUUAUAAUUAUUGAAAUUUGUUCUUUGACAUUGAAGGGGCAAAUUUUUGAUGGAUCCUAAUGGGACUGUAAAAUUGGUAGAUUUUGAGAUAACAAAGUAUUUAAGAGCAUUUAUAAGAUGAGGAAAAAAAUGUACUGACUCAUAACUUAGUGUUCCAAUAUUAUAUCUGAUUCAUAUUUAAUAACAUCAAUUUUGACAAAUGUGAGCUAAUAUAUAAAAUUUAUAAUGGUAACUUUUUUCAAAUGUGAGUGAACUGCAUGUCUUUUCAUAUAUUAGAUUGGACAUAUAGAAGAAAAAGUGAUAACAAAACUGCUGUUAGCAUUCCUCAUAUAAAAAGUAAUGACAAUAUGUGUGCUAUAUGUGUAAGCUGAUCACAAAAGUGAGAUUCAUUAUACACAGAUAUUCCUAUUCAAAACUUAAAAAAAAAAAAAAAAAACAUAGAAUAUCACAUAUAAAUUCCCCAUCUCCCCCUUCCACCAACAAUACAAUAUCUAUCUCACUCUUCAACUUCAUUAUUUUCUUUUCACAUCAAUGACACGUUAGAAGUAAACUACCUGCAAAUCUAUUUGCUUUGAGGGACACCUCGAAAAGUCAAAAUACCAUAAGGAUAUGGACAUUUUGAAAUUAUGGAUAAUUUGCUUUGAUGCAUUAAUGAUGAUGCGAAAAGAAAAUAAUGAGAUGAAGAAUGAAAUUGUGAAUUAGUAUUAUUGGAUGGAGAGAGAAAAUAAUAUGGCAUUGGAGGAUUUAUAGGUGAGAAGGUCUGGGUAAAGAUUUGGAGACUGAUUAGUUGUGAUAUUUGUGGAAUGAGAGUGAUUUUGGGUUUUGAAGUUCCAGACUAAUGAUUUGUUGGUACUAAAUCUUCUAGUUUGGAACUUUGGAUUGAAUUUUUUUUUGUAAUACUAAGAGUAUAUCAUCAUUUUUUUGGGUACUUUUUGGAUAUAAAUUUCUUUUAAGGUGUGUGACCGUCCCUCCCAAUAAAUGUUGCUCUUAGGAAUUGAAUCUUACCUUUUGAUCAUCCUAAAAUAUAGUAAAACCUGACACAACUAGAUCAAUACUUUGUUGGUACUUUGAAUUUAGUUAUACAUAUAGCAUAUUGUGAUAUUGAGUUAUGCACUAGAAAAAGCAUCCUCUAUUAAAUUGAUUUAACAAUGUCACAUUUAUGAAAAUGAUUGAUUCAAUUAAAUUGGUGUGCGGGUUAAGUAUCAUAUGUUUACAUAAAUUUAAGUUGACAUGUUAAGUUUAAAAAGAUAUAAUGAAAUUAUUCAUACCUAAUAGUUUCUUUGACUAUAAGUUGAUAGAUCUUUUGACAUUGAACCCCACAAUCUUCAACCUAUAAACAAAAAAAUCAUAUGAGAUUAGCUAAAAUGAAAUACAAAUAAGAUUGUAAUUUUUGUCAACAUGAAGAACCAUAACAUGCAGCAACGUCUUCAAUAUAGAAGAUGUGUCAAAUAUCAAUAGAGAAACCACCGACCCAAAAAUUGUGAAGAAGACCUUUGCUCAUGAUCUUGACACAGUUUUGAUAAAGACACCAACAUCAUCAAAAAGAAGAAAAGGAAGAAUACUUAUGAAGACAAAGAAGAUUAAAGCUUCAAGAAGAUUAGAAUAAGUUUAUAUAGAUACUUCUAUCCUAACACUCUUAGGUAUGCAAAGUAGUAAUGCUCAAACUAUUUUUAAAAGAAUAAUGAAACACUUUGAAAAUACUUAAAACAAUUUUUAAAAAGAUGUGUAACGGGUUACUCAAUUCAAGUAACAAGUUACAUGUGAGAGAACAAGAGUUAUCCAACUUAAAACUGCUGAGAGUAAUCCAUUAUUGCAUUUGAGUAACAGAUUACCAGUUUUACAAAAGUUGAGUAACCGAUUACCCAAAUGGUGUAAUCGAUUACUCAAAUGGUGUAAUCGAUUACUCAAAUUCGAAUUUAUAAAUUCAGUGGACAGAAUGUUUGGGUAAUUGAUUACCCAAUGUAAGUAAUCGAUGACUGAGGACUGUUGAAAGAGAUUUCAAAACGAAAUCUCUUCACUCCAAACAAAAUCUCUUCACUCCAAACAACUCCUACACUUUCAGAAAGGCACCCUGGAUGUUUGGAAAGCCUAGAUAAAGACUCUAAACUCUCACAAAAUCAACACGCAGCUUUCACACAACUCUCAUAAAUUCUCUCAUUGUUUUUCUGCACUUUUGCACUAAGUCCUUAAUCUUUCAAAAGAGAAUUUAUUCUGAGUAAUUGCUUCAAAAAGUUUUCACAAUUAUAUUGAGCAUUAUUACUAAGCAUAUAAAGACAGUUAAUUGGAUUGCAAGUGAUAUAAUAUUUCAUACUUGUAAAGACAAUCCAAAGUCAUUGUUGUAAUUCUUCAUUCAUUGCAAACAAUCUUUCUUUCACAUGGUGUGAAUAGAAAGGGGAUAGAGUGACUUGGAAAAGUAUUUUCCAAUGUAUAAAUAUUAGUGAGUGUGUUGUCUAAGUUACAGAGAGAUCUCGGGGUGAGAUAUUAUAAUUACAACUCUUAAUAGUGGAAAUCUCUUGUGCUGCAAGAGUACUUGACGUAACCUUCGGUGGACAAGAAGGUGAACCAGUAUAAAAUACUGGUGUACUCUCCUUUGCUUUUCCUCUUUACUUUAUACUUGUUUAUUUUUCUACAAUAUUAUUCGCUGCACAUUAACUCUUAUAUUUUAAGUCAACCAAUCCACCCUCUCUUAAUUGCAAUCCUAUUCUUACCAAAAUGUAACAUAAAUAGAUAAGGAGUUAUGCCAAAAUGAAGAAAUUUUGUGAAAUAAUAGUAUGGAGAGGCUUUUGACAUAGUGAACAAUAUAGAGUAAUAGAAAUAAAGCUUCUCAUAGAAGCUUUGAUAAGAAAUUAUAAAGAAAAAGCAAGAAAAAUUCAUAAAAUAAGAAGAGAAAUGCCAUGAGAGAGGAUAAUGACCCAUGCAUGUUUAUAAUAAAAAUCAUCAACAUAAAUCUAAGCAUAGAAAAACAAAAACAAAACAAAUAGAAUAAGAAAAAGAAGGAACUUACUCUUCAUCCUCAAUCUGUUGUUACAUGUCGCCAAAGUUGUUCUUUUCGCCAACUAGAGCUUCCUCAAAACAACUUCACUAUAAUAAAUUUUACUCAUCCUCAAGUGUCUAAUGGGUACAAAAGUUGUCCCGUAGAUUUAGAGAGACUUUA